This 440-nucleotide ribosomal RNA is filed under the name uncultured bacterium. RNAcentral describes it as "partial 16S ribosomal RNA". It matches the Rfam family "Bacterial small subunit ribosomal RNA", at positions 338 to 795 of the family's 1533-position model. The record is from RNAcentral.
CCUACGGGAGGCAGCAGUAGGGAAUAUUGCUCAAUGGGGGAAACCCUGAAGCAGCAACGCCGCGUGGAGGAUGAAGGUUUUCGGAUUGUAAACUCCUUUUGUUAGAGAAGAUAAUGACGGUAUCUAACGAAUAAGCACCGGCUAACUCCGUGCCAGCAGCCGCGGUAAUACGGAGGGUGAAAGCGUUACUCGGAAUCACUGGGCGUAAAGAGCGCGUAGGCGGGAUCGCAAGUCAGAUGUGAAAUCCUCUGGCUUAACCAUAGAACUGCAUUUGAUACUGUCAGUCUAGAGUAUGGGAGAGGUAGGUGGAAUUCUAGGUGUAGGGGUGAAAUCCGUAGAGAUCUAGAGGAAUACUCAUUGCGAAGGCGACCUCCUAGAACAUAACUGACGCUGAUGCGCGAAAGCGUGGGGAGCAAACAGGAUUAGAUACCCCAGUAGUC